AUUGAACGCUGGCGGCAGGCCUAACACAUGCAAGUCGAGCGGAUGAAGGGAGCUUGCUCCUGGAUUCAGCGGCGGACGGGUGAGUAAUGCCUAGGAAUCUGCCUGGUAGUGGGGGAUAACGUCCGGAAACGGGCGCUAAUACCGCAUACGUCCUGAGGGAGAAAGUGGGGGAUCUUCGGACCUCUCGCUAUCAGAUGAGCCUAGGUCGGAUUAGUUAGUUGGUGGGGUAAAGGCCUACCAAGCCGACGAUCCGUAACUGGUCUGAGAGGAUGAUCGGUCACACUGGAACUGGGACACGGUCCAGACUCCUACGGGAGGCAGCAGUGGGGAAUAUUGGGCAAUGGGCGAAAGCCUGAUCCAGCCAUGCCGCGUGUGUGAAGAAGGUCUUCGGUUUGUAAAGCACUUUAAGUUGGGAGGAAGGGCAGUAAGUUAAUACCUUGCUGUUUUGACGUUACCAACAGAAUAAGCACCGGCUAACUUCGUG
Molecule: ribosomal RNA, 484 nt
Filed under: uncultured bacterium
Lineage: Bacteria
Description: partial 16S ribosomal RNA
Rfam family: Bacterial small subunit ribosomal RNA
Source: RNAcentral